AGAAUCAACGCUGGCGGCGUGCCUAACACAUGCAAGUCGAACGAGAAAGGGUAGCAAUACCUGAGUAAAGUGGCGCACGGGUGAGUAACACGUGACUAACCUACCCUGGAGUGGGGGAUAACUGAGGGAAACCUUAGCUAAUACCGCAUAAUACCUACGGGUCAAAGGAGCGAAUUCGCUUCAGGAGGGGGUAGCGGCCGAUUAGGUUAGUUGGCGGGGUAAUGGCCCACCAAGACGAUGAUCGGUA
Molecule: ribosomal RNA, 247 nt
Filed under: uncultured bacterium
Lineage: Bacteria
Description: partial small subunit ribosomal RNA
Rfam family: Bacterial small subunit ribosomal RNA
Source: RNAcentral